This 77-nucleotide transfer RNA is filed under the name Gammaproteobacteria bacterium. RNAcentral's name for it is "tRNA-Pro". It matches the Rfam family "tRNA". From Rfam's summary of the family: Transfer RNA (tRNA) molecules are approximately 80 nucleotides in length. Their secondary structure includes four short double-helical elements and three loops (D, anti-codon, and T loops). RNAcentral also lists the same sequence under 2 other names. Lineage: Bacteria; Pseudomonadati; Pseudomonadota; Gammaproteobacteria. The record is from RNAcentral.
CGGGGCGUGGCGCAGUCUGGUAGCGCACUAGACUGGGGGUCUAGUGGUCGCCGGUUCAAAUCCGGCCGCCCCGACCA